This is a ribosomal RNA of Kwoniella botswanensis, 115 nucleotides long. The record is from RefSeq and is a predicted model, not a curated record. NCBI's taxonomy places the organism in Eukaryota, Fungi, Basidiomycota, Tremellomycetes, Tremellales, Cryptococcaceae.
UACGGUUACAGAACCCACAAAACAUCGCAUCCCGUCAGAUCUGCGCAAUUAAUUGGGAUAUCGCUCGAUCAGUAUCAAAGUGGAGGACCAUUUGGGAAUCUCGAGUACUGUAGUU